RNAcentral lists this ribosomal RNA (253 nucleotides) under uncultured bacterium. Its description in RNAcentral is "partial 16S ribosomal RNA". It matches the Rfam family "Bacterial small subunit ribosomal RNA", at positions 524 to 776 of the family's 1533-position model. The record is from RNAcentral.
UACAGAGGUCUCGAGCGUUGUUCGGAUUCAUUGGGCGUAAAGGGUGCGUAGGCGGCGCGGUAAGUCGGGUGUGAAAUCUCGGAGCUUAACUCCGAAACUGCAUUCGAUACUGCCGUGCUUGAGGACUGGAGAGGAGACUGGAAUUUACGGUGUAGCGGUGAAAUGCGUAGAUAUCCGAAGGAACAUCAGUGGCGAAGGCGGGUCUCUGGACAGUUCCUGACGCUGAGGCACGAAGGUCAGGGGAGCAAACGGG